This 218-nucleotide ribosomal RNA is filed under the name uncultured bacterium. RNAcentral describes it as "partial 16S ribosomal RNA". It matches the Rfam family "Bacterial small subunit ribosomal RNA", at positions 57 to 305 of the family's 1533-position model. The record is from RNAcentral.
GCAAGUCGAGCGCAUCUUCGGGUGAGCGGCGGACGGGUUAGUAACGCGUGGGAACAUACCCUUUUCUACGGAAUAGCCUCGGGAAACUGAGAGUAAUACCGUAUACGCCCUUCGGGGGAAAGAUUUAUCGGUGAAGGAUUGGCCCGCGUUAGAUUAGAUAGUUGGUGGGGUAAUGGCCUACCAAGUCGACGAUCUAUAGCUGGUUUGAGAGGAUGAUC